CCUACGGGUGGCAGCAGUGGGGAAUAUUGCACAAUGGGGGGAACUCUGAUGCAGCGACGCCGCGUGAGUGAAGAAGUAUUUUGGUAUGUAAAGCUCUAUCAGCAGAGAAGAAAAUGACGGUACCUGACUAUGAAGCCCCGGCUAACUACGUGCCAGCAGACGCGGAAAUACGUGGGGGGCAAGCGUUAUCCGGUUUAAUUGGGUUUAAAGGGUUGGUAGGCGGUCCGUUAGGUCAGUGGGAAAAUUGUGGGGCUCAACCUCGUCGAGCAGUUGAUACUGGCAGACUUGAGUUGGGGAGAGGUACGCGGAAUGCGCGGUGUAGCGGUGAAAUGCAUAGAUAUCGCGAAGAACUCCGAUUGCGAAGGCAGCGUACCAGCGCGAGACUGACGCUGAGGCACGAAAGUGUGGGGAUCGAACAGGAUUAGAUACCCGUGUAGUC
RNAcentral lists this ribosomal RNA (439 nucleotides) under uncultured bacterium. RNAcentral's name for it is "partial 16S ribosomal RNA". It matches the Rfam family "Bacterial small subunit ribosomal RNA", at positions 338 to 795 of the family's 1533-position model. The record is from RNAcentral.